RNAcentral lists this ribosomal RNA (410 nucleotides) under uncultured Flavobacteriia bacterium. Its description in RNAcentral is "bacterial SSU rRNA". It matches the Rfam family "Bacterial small subunit ribosomal RNA", at positions 370 to 779 of the family's 1533-position model. Lineage: Bacteria; Pseudomonadati; Bacteroidota; Flavobacteriia. The record is from RNAcentral.
AAUGGGCGAGAGCCUGAUCCAGCCAUGCCGCGUGCAGGAAGACUGCCUAUGGGUUGUAAACUGCUUUUAUACAGGAAGAAAAGCCUUACGUGUAAGGUGAUGACGGUACUGUAAGAAUAAGGACCGGCUAACUCCGUGCCAGCAGCCGCGGUAAUACGGAGGGUCCGAGCGUUAUCCGGAAUUAUUGGGUUUAAAGGGUCCGUAGGCGGAUGAUUAAGUCAGGGGUGAAAGUUUGCAGCUCAACUGUAAAAUUGCCUUUGAUACUGGUUAUCUUGAGUUGUAUUGAAGUAGGCGGAAUAUGUAGUAUAGCGGUGAAAUGCAUAGAUAUUACAUAGAACACCAAUUGCGAAGGCAGCUUACUAAGUACUAACUGACGCUGAUGGACGAAAGCGUGGGUAGCGAAUAGGAUU